This is a long non-coding RNA of Rhipicephalus sanguineus (brown dog tick), 625 nucleotides long. RefSeq lists it as uncharacterized. The transcript is spliced from 4 exons. NCBI's taxonomy places the organism in Eukaryota, Metazoa, Arthropoda, Arachnida, Ixodida, Ixodidae. The record is from RefSeq and is a predicted model, not a curated record.
UACAUGUGCAGUAGCUCCGCCCCCGUAGCCUUCCCUUCAUUGCCAAGAAAAGUUGUCCUUGGGGGCGCUUUAGUUGUUUGACGGGUGCACGAUGCGCGCGGUUUGUGUGUGUGUGUGCCAUGCUGUGUUCUGCAAUGCUUCGUUACCACGUUUAUCGAUUAUGCACGUUGGUUACUUGAUUCAAUGUCAAGUGUACCUUCCAAGACGAUCUAGGUCCUAGUCUCGUGACUGAAGGCGAGUGCGGACGUACAGCAGCCUUUUGACAAGACUGUCGCCGAGUGUACGGUACAUUGUGGACUGUAAAGCUGAAGAGUGCACAGUGGAUGCCUGAUUUUGGAACCGAGUGUGAUCGUCUGGGCGGUGUGUUCACUCUGCGGGGAUGAUGGCCAGAGGAAGGAUGAUAGACAGACGACAGCUUGCAGACGAAGAUGGGAGCGUUCUACCUGUGAGCCUGGUCGAGCUUAUAUUUUAUGGAUACACAUGCAUGGAUACACAUACAUGGAUUCCCUACAAGGACCCUGCGCAUCAAAAGCAAUCUGUCAUCAAUGUUAAGUAGACAGAUUAAACGAAACUGAAGAUAUGACAGGUGUACACCAUAUUUUUCUUUCAUUUAACCUCUGCAUGU